CUUUGUUGUUUUAUUUUUCAAGAAAACAAAAGUUCUUCCUCAUCCUGAAGCUUCUCACAAGAGACAUAUUAGUUAAUACUUCAGUUUCUUUUCUUUUGGGUAUCUUCAAAUUUCUCUAUUUUAUCGUUUAUAUUUAUUUUAUGGAUAUGAUUUUUCUUAUGGAACGUGAUUCUGAAUUUCCCAGCGUAUUUGUGUGUGUACAAAAUUAUGAAUCUUGGAUGAUUAUUGAAUAUUAUACUGUUGAUAUUUAUGCGUGUGGGUUACUUUAUUUUUUCUUGCUGAGAAGAUUAUUUUUUGAUUUGAUUUUAUUGCAUUCUUCCUUUUUUUUUUCUGCCAAUCUCAAGCUUUUUGUUUUUUAUUGAUUUCUUGUAAAUUUUCUUUAUGGGUAUCGUUUUCUUUUGAUGUGAUUGCGAAUUUAAACAUGUCUACUGUAUCUGAGAGUUUGUGUGCUAAAAAAAUUAUGAACCUCUAUUGACCAUGAACAUUACGCUGCUGAGAUUUAUGUACGAGGGUUAUUUUAGUUUGUUAUUGAAGAAAACGAACAGGUUUUGAUAGUUUUUAUUGCUGAUAUGUGAAUAUUGGUGCUUAUUUUUGUGGGUUUUGCGUUUGAUUUUACAUGGAGAGUUUCUGAUAUGUAAAUGUCCGUGCAUUAUUAUAAAUUCAUGGUUUGAGAUUUUUGUUAGUAUUCUCGAUCUGUCAUUUUUUUUUGAAUAAAUAUCUUUGUGAUUGAAAUUUUAUUAUCUGCAUUUCUUGGUUUAUGAGUUCCGUAUUUCCCCGAAAUCUGUUUUGAUGUUGCCUUGAGAAUUAACUUAUUCUAAGAUUAUUCUGUGUGUAUGUAUGUAGCCUUUGUAGUAAGUAUUUUUUUUUUCAUUCCAAAAGGCUAGCUAUUUGGUUUCUGAUAUUUCUUUGUGCAAAUAUUAAUUUGUGGUUUCCAAUUUUUUCUCUUCAGAAUAGGUUUAGGUUGAAUCUUAUACAAAUUUGGGCUGAAGAAGUGAUAAACAUGUCUUGGGCUUCUCGUUAUUGUGGAAAGUGUGUGCGAUUGGUAGCAUUCUUUUGGGUUAUCCUGUAAUUUGANAUUCUGAAAAGUGCAUUUACCCAAGAGAAAGAUUACGAUUUCCAACAGUAGAUACGCAUUUUGUCAAACUUACCUAUUUUUUUCUUCACGCGUGCUCUCUCAUUCAACGGCCAAGAGCUCAUCCGCAUUUCCCGGAAAGUGUCCUCGUAUCCCCAAUCCAACGGUUCUAAUUCCCCGCCUUUGACUACCCGCACAUUUCCCCCGAUUAUCCCACGGGGUUACUGCGUUAAAUCGACUCUACCAUUUAAUUCACCCUCUUUGUUGUUUUAUUUUUCAAGAAAACUAAAGUUCUUCCUUAUCCUGAAGCUUCUCACAAGAGACAUAUUGGUUAAUACUUCAGUUUCUUUUCUUUUGGGUAUCUUCAAAUUUCUCUAUUUUAUCGUUUAUAUUUAUUUUUUGGAUAUGAUUUUUCUUAUGGAGCGUGAUUCUGAAUUUCCCAGCGUAUUUGUGUGUACAAAAUUAUGAAUCUUGGAUGACUAUUGAAUAUUAUACUGCUGAUAAUUAUGCGUGUGGGGUUACUCUAUUUUUUCUUGCUGAGAAGAUUAUUUUUUGAUGUGAUUUUAUUGCAUUCUUCCUUUUUUUUUUUCUGCCAAUCUCAAGCUUUUUGUUUUUAUUGAUUUCUUGUAAAUUUUCUCUAUGGGUAUUGUUUUCUUUUGAUGUGAUUGCGAAUUUAAACAUGUCUACUGUAUCUGAGAGUUUGUGUGCUAAAAAAAUUAUGAACCUCUAUUGACCAUGAACAUUACGCUGCUGAGAUUUAUGUACGAGGGUUAUUUUAGUUUGUUGUUGAAGAAAAGGAACAGGUUUUGAUAGUUUUUAUUGCUGAUAUGUGAAUAUUGGUGCUUAUUUUUGUGGGUUUUGCUUUUGAUUUUACAUGGAGAGUUUCUGAUAUGUAAAUGUCCGUGCAUUAUUAUAAAUUUAUAGUUUGAGAUUUUUGUUAGUAUUCUCGAUCCGUCAUUUUUUUUUUGACUAAAUAUCUUUGUGAAUUUAUAUUGAAAUUUUAUUACCUGCAUUUCUUGGUUUAUGAGUUUCCUUAUUUCCCCUAAAUCUGUUUUGAUGUUGCCUUGAGAAUUAACUUAUUCUAAGAUUAUUCUGUGUGUAUAUAUAGCCUUUGUAGUAUUUUUUUUUCCUCCAAAAGGCUAGCUAUUUGGUUUCUGAUAUUUCUUUGUGCAAAUAUUAAUUUGUGGUUUCCAAUUUUUUCUCUUCAGAAUAGGUUUAGGUUGAAUCUUAUACAAAUUUGGGCUGAAGAAGUGGAUAAACAUGCCUUGGGCUUCUCGUUAUUGUGGAAAGUGUGUGCGAUUGGUAGCAUUCUUUUGGGUUAUCCUGUAAUUUGAUUUCAUUUGGUGAGAUUUCUCCCUCCUUAUCUCUCUAUAUGUAAAUCACUCUUUCUGUGUAUGAAUGUUUAUAUCACUAUUCAUUUGCGUAUUUUCUUGGAAAAAUUUGGAUAUUGAUAAUAACAACAUAUUUUCCAUACAAAAUCCUUUGUAACUACUCACCAACUACAAACUAACGUUAUUCUAAUGAAAAAAUGUUUCAAGAGUUAGGUAAAGACACAAGUUUGUGCAAGAUUACACGCUCAUGUAUAGUUGUGUGCAUGUAUUUAGAUUUUGUAUUCAUUAAAGAUUAAUUGAAAUUUGGAGGAAAUUGUUUCCAAAUUCAAUUCCAAGGCUCCAAUUUCAUGCUUCUGAAUGUAAGCUGACAAUUUUUGGGAAAUUAGGAAAAAAAAAUAAAUAAAUAAAAUUUUCAUUGUGAUUGAGUUGAAGUCCUACAACAUGAUAUUUUAUGUUGAAAUAAAUUCCUAUUUGAUUUUUUGCAUUAACUGGAGGCUGGAUUUUAAAAUUCUAUGUUUUUUCCCCUUUUAUUGUCUCAAAAACUAUUCUAAGAUUGGGAACAUUUUGCAGGUGCAUCUUGUCCAGUGGUGAAAUUUCCAUUGAUUUAUUUCGUGUUUUUACCUAAAAUUGGAAGGAGUAGCAAGAAUGUACAUUGCAAUUUCCCAAAAGAAACAUCGUAAAGUAAAGGAAGUUGGAAAAUUUGAAAUGACUGUUGGAACUAUUGCUUUCUACCAAUUGAUGCAAGUUUGUCAGGUGAGUGUGCUUCUUGUUUGCAGUAAUUAUGUUGUACAAGUAGCUUGCUUUAAUCUUCAGUCUGAUAUCUAAUAUAUGAUGCACCGACACGAUACGUGUCGGAUAUGUCGAUUCGUCAUUUUUCAAAAAAGUACCGACACGACACGUCGUCAUCACGUUGAUUAAAUUCUUUAAAAAUUUUCAUUUAUAUAGUAUAAAUUUAAUUUUAUACUUAUUAUUGAUUUUUCUUGUUGAAAUCUUUUAAAUAUGAGUGUUUAUUUGUUAUUUACUAAUAAUUUUGAGUUAAAAAUAUAUAAUAGCUACAGUAAGAAAGAAAAAUGAUUAUUGUAAAGUGUCCGAAAAGUGUCGGUAUCGACACGUGUCGGACACAAAUACGCUACUCUAGUUAGAGUAUUCGUGCUAUAGAGUAUCUAAUUAAUAUCAAUAAUGCUGAACUUAUCUCAAUUCAUUUUGCCCCUUUUAUUUAUUUAUUUAUUUAUUUAUUUAUUUAUUUUUAACUCAGAUUCUUUCUUCUAUAAAUUUGGAAAUUUGAUUUAUUUUCUUUUUUCAUAAGCUAUAUUAUAUCAGAUUUUGUGGACGGAUUCAUGGGGCAGUGUGUAUCUCUCUUAUUUGGCUGUUUUAGUUUCAAGUUAAUAGUGGUUAGCUAGUUCAUUGACUUAUUUUGCUUUACAGGCUGAAUAUUUCCGUCAGUUGCUUAAACCUGUUACGUAGUCCUGUACGGUGAUAAGCUUGUAAGACUGGGAUUGGUAGCCUUUUCCUUUCUCUGUGUUGAAAUUUUUUGAAGUGGCAUUGUAUACGCCUUAGGUGUACCACAAACGUCUUUUUUGUUAGUUUAUUCCCCUAAAACUUUUGGCAAUUUGAAAUCGAAGAGAACCCUUUUGAAAGCUGCAGAUUUGUGUAUCAGUGAAGUUGUUUACUGUUCCAAAUGCAUAGUGACCGAAAAUAUUUCCCUCAAAAUCCUGUCCUUCCUCAUCCCAAUCAAGUGGGCAGUUACUACAUGAGCAAAGCUCCUAUUCAAUCCAUUUUUGGUGGAACAGUUCUGCCCUCGGGUAUAAAACCUUCUAGGCUGUUCCAUGGUGUUGACUUUCUGACCUCUGAUGCAUGCCCGAGGAAUUUCGUAAUCUUUGACAAAACAAAAAAUAGAAGCCAAAUCAUGUUCCAUCCCGAGAUUGGUUCUAAGUUUCCUCAUCCUGAUUUUGGUGUUGGCAUGUCUAACUGCCUAGACAAUAUUGGUUGGAAGGACAAGAAGGAAGACAGAGAAAGAACUUCUUUCACAGAAGAUUCAUAUGAUAUUGAUGCUCUAUUGAGCACAGAAUAUGAACAUGAGGAGUAUGAUGGAGAUAAGCUGAGCACAGGACGAACCGAUGCAAACUAUGGAAGCGAAUCCUCAGAUUCAUGUUCUAAUUACGAAUCUCCGUCUAGAAAGAGGAGGUCACCUCCUUCCAAGAAGUCUUCUAAGGACAAGAAACGCCAGAAAAUGAGGAAAAUGGUGAAGGCAUUAAGAGGUAUUGUUCCGGGUGCCAACCAGAUGAGUACUGUAGCUGUUCUUGAUGAN
RNAcentral lists this long non-coding RNA (4711 nucleotides) under Olea europaea subsp. europaea. The record is from RNAcentral. Lineage: Eukaryota; Viridiplantae; Streptophyta; Magnoliopsida; Lamiales; Oleaceae.